UCCCUGGUGGCUUGGAUGGUAAAGAAUCUGCCUGCAAUGCAGGAGACCCAGGUUCAAUCUCUGGGUCAGGAAA
Non-coding RNA from Bos taurus (domestic cattle), 73 nucleotides. Lineage: Eukaryota; Metazoa; Chordata; Mammalia; Artiodactyla; Bovidae. The record is from Rfam.